RNAcentral lists this ribosomal RNA (614 nucleotides) under Cronobacter sakazakii. RNAcentral describes it as "bacterial SSU rRNA". It matches the Rfam family "Bacterial small subunit ribosomal RNA", at positions 69 to 674 of the family's 1533-position model. Lineage: Bacteria; Pseudomonadati; Pseudomonadota; Gammaproteobacteria; Enterobacterales; Enterobacteriaceae. The record is from RNAcentral.
CAGGAAACAGCUUGCUGCUUCUGCUGACGAGUGGCGGACGGGUGAGCUAAUGUCUGGGAAACUGCCUGAUGGAGGGGGAUAACUACUGGAAACGGUAGCUAAUACCGCAUAACGUCGCAAGACCAAAGAGGGGGACCUUCGGGCCUCUUGCCAUCGGAUGUGCCCAGAUGGGAUUAGCUAGUAGGUGGGGUAACGGCUCACCUAGGCGACGAUCCCUAGCUGGUCUGAGAGGAUGACCAGCCACACUGGAACUGAGACACGGUCCAGACUCCUACGGGAGGCAGCAGUGGGGAAUAUUGCACAAUGGGCGCAAGCCUGAUGCAGCCAUGCCGCGUGUAUGAAGAAGGCCUUCGGGUUGUAAAGUACUUUCAGCGGGGAGGAAGGGAGUAAAGUUAAUACCUUUGCUCAUUGACGUUACCCGCAGAAGAAGCACCGGCUAACUCCGUGCCAGCAGCCGCGGUAAUACGGAGGGUGCAAGCGUUAAUCGGAAUUACUGGGCGUAAAGCGCACGCAGGCGGUUUGUUAAGUCAGAUGUGAAAUCCCCGGGCUCAACCUGGGAACUGCAUCUGAUACUGGCAAGCUUGAGUCUCGUAGAGGGGGGUAGAAUUCCAUGU